RNAcentral lists this ribosomal RNA (581 nucleotides) under Sarcocystis cruzi. RNAcentral describes it as "SSU rRNA". It matches the Rfam family "Eukaryotic small subunit ribosomal RNA", at positions 145 to 699 of the family's 1831-position model. Lineage: Eukaryota; Apicomplexa; Conoidasida; Eucoccidiorida; Sarcocystidae. The record is from RNAcentral.
AACCGUGGUAAUUCUAUGGUUAAUACAUGCGCAAAUAUCCUUUUUCGCAAGAAAGAGGAUAGUGUUUAUUAGAUACAGAACCAAUACACCAUCUGUUAACAGCAGGUGGUGUAAAAAAGGUGAUUCAUAGUAACCGAACGGAUCGCAUUAUGGUCAUUUUAUAUGGCUGGCGAUAGAUCAUUCAAGUUUCUGACCUAUCAGCUUUCGACGGUAGUGUAUUGGACUACCGUGGCAGUGACGGGUAACGGGGAAUUAGGGUUCGAUUCCGGAGAGGGAGCCUGAGAAACGGCUACCACAUCUAAGGAAGGCAGCAGGCGCGCAAAUUACCCAAUCCUGACUCAGGGAGGUAGUGACAAGAAAUAACAACACUGGAAAUUUUAUUUCUAGUGAUUGGAAUGAUGGGAAUUUAAACCCCUUUCAGAGUAACAAUUGGAGGGCAAGUCUGGUGCCAGCAGCCGCGGUAAUUCCAGCUCCAAUAGCGUAUAUUAGAGUUGUUGCAGUUAAAAAGCUCGUAGUUGGAUGUCUGCUGGAAGCAAUCAGUCCGCCCUAUUUGUAGGGUGUGCACUUGAUGAAUUCUGGCA